RNAcentral lists this ribosomal RNA (538 nucleotides) under uncultured bacterium. RNAcentral describes it as "bacterial SSU rRNA". It matches the Rfam family "Bacterial small subunit ribosomal RNA", at positions 780 to 1320 of the family's 1533-position model. The record is from RNAcentral.
AUAGUACCGGGUAGUCCACGCCGUAAACGGUGGGCACUAGGUGUGGGACCCUUCCACGGGUUCCGUGCCGUAGCUAACGCAUUAAGUGCCCCGCCUGGGGAGUACGGCCGCAAGGCUAAAACUCAAAGGAAUUGACGGGGGCCCGCACAAGCGGCGGAGCAUGCGGAUUAAUUCGAUGCAACGCGAAGAACCUUACCUGGGUUUGACAUAUACCGGAAACAUCUGGAGACAGGUGCCCCGCAAGGUCGGUAUACAGGUGGUGCACGGCUGUCGUCAGCUCGUGUCGUGAGAUGUUGGGUUAAGUCCCGCAACGAGCGCAACCCUCGUUCUAUGUUGCCAGCGGUUCGGCCGGGAACUCAUAGAAGACUGCCGGGGUCAACUCGGAGGAAGGUGGGGAUGACGUCAAGUCAUCAUGCCCCUUAUGUCCAGGGCUUCACGCAUGCUACAAUGACUGGUACAAAGGGCUGCGAUAUCGCAAGAUGGAGCGAAUCCCAUAAAGCCAGUCUCAGUUCGGAUUGGGGUCUGCAACUCGACCCCA